GAAGAUUUGGAAGAAGGCAGGUCAGAGUGGUAACUGGGUGGGGGGUUAUGUGCCUGUGGCUCUUCAGGAUUCCUAUCACCAGAGCACUGAGUCCCCAGCAAAACUAUGGUUUUGCCUUUCACAUUUUCCCCUGGGAAUCAAUAAAUACAUCCAUUUAUUCAGCCAACAGGAGCUGGGCACCUACUCCCUACUCUGCCCCCACUACUGUGUUAGGGCUAAGGAUGUAAGUCUAAUGGAAGAGACAGACAGGAGACACGGGAGGACAAAGCCACAGUGACUCUCAGGUCAUUUGGGAAAACAAAAACACAAAAGGCUUUGUAACGUCCCAUGCUGCCGGGAGACUGCAGCCCCAGACCGUGGAUCAUGGCAUGGACGGGAGUGUCCUCUGAUUACAGACGUUGGUGGCAUUUCCAUCUUCACCUCCCCAGUGAGCUGUGGAAAUUGAUUGAGUUCAGGCUGGGGACCCUGAAGCUGCUACAUAAAUGCUGAAAUCAUUAAGCUUCAGAGCGUGUAACAUUCUGCUUGUGGCCUUGGGGCCGGAAGACCAGCUGUUGCACCUGAGAGAGACACGGCGAGAGAAGGAAUACAAGCAAGGGGAGUGAGAGAGGGAGAAGCAGGCUUCCCGCUGAGGAGGGACCCUGAUGCAGGGCUUGAUCCCAGGACCCCGGGAUCAUGACCUGAGCUGAAGGCAGACGCUUAACGACUGAGCCACCCAGGUGCCCCAGGGCUUUGUCUUCAUGGAGAGGAAAAUCUUUCCCAGAAGUGAAGACACAGCCAGGAGACAGACACAGGAAGUGGGCUCUCGCCAGACGCUGUGUCUGCCAGCUCCGUGAACUUGGACUUCCCAGCUUCCGGAACGAGAUGGUGAAAAUUCACUGAGGCAGAACGAGAGAGGGCCUAAUGAAUUUCUAGUGGGCCCUACCAAUCCACUGGAUUGACCAUCCUGGUUCAAUUCACUCCUUUGCUCUUCAUUAUGUUCAGGUUUUCCUGCCAUAACCUCAUGUUCACAGCUACCCAAGGGAAUAAGGUCCUCUGGGCUCUGAUCACAAACCCAGAACUCAGGCCUGCCUCCACCCAGCAACUCAGCAACGAGUGGACGCAUACCCUGGGGACCCAUCUGGAACUUUUUUCUGUCCCACUUCCUUUGGGUGGCAAGGAGUGGUCUGUGAUGCCAAUUGCCUGGGACUGCAUCUGAGUGGUGGCUGGCUGGCUAUUUGACAGCUCCUUGACUGAAAGGGGAUGAGACCAUGGGUCUGUCCUAAAGAAGCUCUCCAUCGGGACCGGCCCUGGAUUCUAAGUCCAGCUCCUUCUGUAACACGCUGGGAGACCUUGAGUUUGUCACUUACACUCUCUGAGCCUCUGUGUCUUCAUCAUCAUGUGAAUUUGCCACCAAGUUAAAAACCUUCAGCACUCAUUUUUCACGUGGUCAGCCAGGCGAGCAGUGUCUUGGGGUGUCAACCGUGCAAACGCCUUCACUUAAUGAACUUUGACACAGCUCUGAGGAGCAAUGCUGUGCUUGAGUGCUUCCAGUAUCAGGUGCGCUCAACUCCUACUUGUACUUACUAUAAUUCCUUUUAAUCUUCUGUGGAGAAAACGAGACAAAGCCUACAAGUAGUCAAGAGAUUCUGAGAUAAUCUUGUUGGCAAACCUGUCAGUAAAAUCAGUCACUAGUUUCUUCUAAGGGCUGGCAGUAUUCUGGAACAUCUCAUGGAGGCUCAAAGAGGGAAGCAUUGAGAAAGACUGACAGCAUCCUCCUGGUGAGGUCUGUGUUCUUUAGAUGGGCUUGUGUUAUGAACAGCAAAACACUAGAUGCUGAUUUCCGCUGGGAAUGUUCUGUGUUCUCUGAAGACUAAUAUGGUGCUAUGAGCUGAAUUGAGUCCCCCCGAAAUUUUUACAUUGAAGCCCUCCCCCCACCGAGUGGAUGGUAUUUGAAGGUGGAGACUUUGAAAAGUUAUAGGUUUAAAUGAGGUCAUGAGGGUGGAACCCUCAUGAGGUGAUUAGUGCCCUUAUAAGAGACCCCAGAGUGCUUGCUUUGCUUUUCCUCCUUCUCCCCACACCCCGCCCCCACCAUCUCACCACCACCCCCUGGCCAGGUGAGGAUAGAGUGAGGUCUACAAGGCAGGAGAAGAGCCUUUACUGGGGAACUGAAUUGGCCAGCACCUUGAUACUGGACUUUCCAGCCUCCAGAAGGGUGACAAAAUAAAUUCCUGCCAUUUAAGUCAACCAGUCUAUAGUAUUUUAGUUAUGGCCACCCAAGCUGACUAACACAAACAGGAUUAAGUGAUAGCAGGGUAUAAGGGAGCAGGAUAAGCUUCACUGAGGAAGGCAUUUUUUUUUUUAAAGAUUUUAUUUAUUUAUUUGAGCCA
Mirounga angustirostris (Northern elephant seal) is the source of this 2366-nucleotide long non-coding RNA. RefSeq lists it as uncharacterized. NCBI's taxonomy places the organism in Eukaryota, Metazoa, Chordata, Mammalia, Carnivora, Phocidae. The record is from RefSeq and is a predicted model, not a curated record. The transcript has 6 exons.